GAAGUAUCAAAUAAAGCUACUAACUUUUUCUAUUAAUGGUUAAAUUCCAUUUAUACUUCU
RNAcentral lists this transfer RNA (60 nucleotides) under Dexia fulvifera. RNAcentral's name for it is "tRNA-Ser". Lineage: Eukaryota; Metazoa; Arthropoda; Insecta; Diptera; Tachinidae. The record is from RNAcentral.